AUGACAAUGAGCAUGAUGAUGACGAUGGCCUUGAUGGUGUUGUUGCCAGUCUUUUCUGCAUAGCCCUGUGAGAGAUCAGACUGUCAUCUAAGAUGCCGUGAAAGCAGCAUACAAGCCGGAGAGCCUACUGGAAGCAAGAGGGGAAAACCCAGCCGGGUAUGGGGGCUGCGGGGAGGAUGCCAGGUGGCGGAGACUGGAUUCAGGAUUUGAUGCUUGAACUGAACCUUCUUUUAAGAGAAGUAAUACAUCCUCAAAGUAAAAACAACAACAAAAAACUUAGACGAAGAAAAAGCAAAGAGAAGAAAAUAAAAAUCACCACCCAGAGACAGC
This 330-nucleotide long non-coding RNA is filed under the name Pan troglodytes (chimpanzee). Its description in RNAcentral is "long non-coding RNA NONPTRT001599". The record is from RNAcentral. Lineage: Eukaryota; Metazoa; Chordata; Mammalia; Primates; Hominidae.